AUUGAACGCUGGCGGCAGGCUUAACACAUGCAAGUCGAGCGGGGGAAGGUAGCUUGCUACCGGACCUAGCGGCGGACGGGUGAGUAAUGCUUAGGAAUCUGCCUAUUAGUGGGGGACAACAUCUCGAAAGGGAUGCUAAUACCGCAUACGUCCUACGGGAGAAAGCAGGGGAUCUUCGGACCUUGCGCUAAUAGAUGAGCCUAAGUCGGAUUAGCUAGUUGGUGGGGUAAAGGCCUACCAAGGCGACGAUCUGUAGCGGGUCUGAGAGGAUGAUCCGCCACACUGGGACGGAGACACGGCCCAGACACCUCCGGGAGGCAGCAGUGGGGAAUAUUGGACAAUGGGGGGAACCCUGAUCCAGCCAUGCCGCGUGUGUGAAGAAGGCCUUAUGGUUGUAAAGCACUUUAAGCGAGGAGGAGGCUACUCUAGUUAAUACCUAGGGAUAGUGGACGUUACUCGCAGAAUAAGCACCGGCUAACUCUGUGCCAGCAGCCGCCGUAA
Molecule: ribosomal RNA, 501 nt
Filed under: uncultured bacterium
Lineage: Bacteria
Description: partial 16S ribosomal RNA
Rfam family: Bacterial small subunit ribosomal RNA
Source: RNAcentral